UAGGAAGUAAAGGCUAGCCUGGGUAGUG
Molecule: non-coding RNA, 28 nt
Filed under: Homo sapiens (human)
Lineage: Eukaryota; Metazoa; Chordata; Mammalia; Primates; Hominidae
Source: RNAcentral